AAGACACUAGUAAAGAGGAAUUACACUGCCUUGUCGAGGCAGAAUCGUGGGUUAGACCCCCGCGUGUCUUG
RNAcentral lists this transfer RNA (71 nucleotides) under Gerres decacanthus (small Chinese silver-biddy). Its description in RNAcentral is "tRNA-Asp". It matches the Rfam family "tRNA". From Rfam's summary of the family: Transfer RNA (tRNA) molecules are approximately 80 nucleotides in length. Their secondary structure includes four short double-helical elements and three loops (D, anti-codon, and T loops). The record is from RNAcentral. Lineage: Eukaryota; Metazoa; Chordata; Actinopteri; Gerreiformes; Gerreidae.